GCGGGUGCCUUUGGGCGGGAAGCGCCGUGUGGUAGAGGGGGGGGGGAAGGCAUAACGAGUGUGCGAGGGAAAAAUCCUCCUGGCGUCCGCUAGGUGGUGCCCACAACGUGGCUCAAAUCAGCACGUGGAAAGCAGGCCCGAUAUACAGGCCUCAUAUUUCCCCCCGCAUUUCAUCCAGACCCUGGCUCGUGCAUUACCCCACUUCUUCCAAAGCAACAUUCAAAUAGUAGUUGUUGUUUUUUCUUUUAAAGUGACAUGCAAAGGACAUACCAGGUUUGUACCUCCCCCCCUCCGUCUUCCUUAUGUCAACAGCAACAGACCUGAAAAUGUCGUGGAGAUUUUCUUUGAAAAUAGUUUUGUUUGUUUUUACUUUUAGAAAUCUAGCUUUCGUGACAGACCCGGGACAAUGAAGAAACUAGUAUGAUUAUCUGAGAGACAGCAAGGUAUUGCAUAUGUGAGUUAAAGCAGGGCAAGACAAGAUGGAAACAUGAAGUCCAAUAAAACUUGGUACAUAGCACACAAGCAUUUCAAAGAACAAAACUGCGGACAGAAAACAAGAAGAGAAAAGAAGAAAAUGUAAGCAUCAUCUAGUGCCUCCUAUGAUUAUUCCCAUUCACCCCGUUCAAUUCGUUCAUCUCAUUGAGAACAAUCUCGGCAUACUUACCUUGAUUGACGGUCACCUCUUGAAAGACUUUUUUAUCGUGAUGACCACUGCCACCGAUAUUCGCCUAGUCGAUGCUCAUACUAUUACCCUCUAGGUCCCACGGAAGGUCAUGAUGUGACUGCACACCAACCAGGCAGUCCCCAACUUCAUCCCCUCCCACUCCAAUGGGCCAUCCCGUGUCUCCUCAAUGUCAGCCAUCGGAACCAGACGAUACACAGCUUUCCACCACAGAGGAACCACCACAGGAAACUUCCCCCAUGACCGUUUCUCUUCCUCUCCGGAUGAGGCCAUAAUCCCAGGAGACAUAUCCACCUGACGAUAUUCGUCAAUUUCAAGAACUUUUCAAGAGGGUAGCCAUAAGCCAAGAGAUACACAUAGAUGAAGUAAAGGAGAAACAACACCGCCUCCUUAAAAACCUUCAGCCUCAAUACAGAUAAAAAAUAGCCAUACCACUUGAUGAAGCUAUACUUGAGGUCACCGAAAAGAUGUGGCAAACCCCAGCCUCUGCUCCACCAACUAGGAAAAGAGCAGACACGAAAUAUUUUGUGCCACCCAAGGGGGUGGAGUUCUUUUUUACCCAUCCCCAACUGAACUCUUCAGUGGUAGAUACAGCAUGCCAAAGAUCGAAAGCCCCUCAAUUCAGAAAUAUCUCUGACAAUGACGUAAAGCAAUCGGACUUACUUGGUAGGAAGAUGUACACAUCCGUGACACUCAUGCUCCAGAUAGCGAACUACACAGCACACCUUUCUAACCACAUAUUUGACAAUUUCACGAAACUCACACCCCUACUAAACCAUCUGCCAGAAGCAAAGCGGCCCAUACUCAAAUUGGUGGUUCUUCUUCGAGCAGUGUCCCAUGGGUGCUCCAUUGUAGGUGUUGGGCUUGUCCCGGCGCCGCAGAUCGGAGAUCUUUUCUAGCUGUAGUCUGCCGGACCAUGCAUGCGCCAAGUACGGCUCGUGGCUUUUCGUGCCGUUUGAGCGUUGAUGGUCCGGCUCCCACCAGUUCCUCCUGACCGUCCUCGACCGCGGACGGAUUAACGUCUCUCUCGUGAACCCUGUUCACUAACACAGAGAGAGAUCACCAAUAAUUAUUAUAUACAUAGUUUAAAAGUUAUAGUUAUAAUUCUUCCUAUAGUUAAUAGUUCUAGUCGUUUAAAAAAAAUCUUUUUCUUCAGUAGUUAGUUUAUUCUUCUCAAAUGCCGGGAUUCAAGAAGUGCGGCGAAUGCCGUGAGGCAAUGCCUGCUUGUGACGGCCAUUCCAUGAGCAUUAGGUGCCUCGGGGAAGGCCACAUACCCCAAAAAUGUCCCUAUUGCUCCAAGCUGACAGCCAGAGCAAGAUGGGACAGGGACAUGCGCCUAAAUCCUCUUAUUUGACAAAGCUCUACAACCCGAGGCCAAACAAUCUAAGGAGCCCGCAGAGCAAACUAAAAAAAUAAAGAGGAAACCAUCUCCAGCACAAUCCCUUCCACCCUCAAGAUCAGGUGCAGGUGACAAGCCAGGGAUAUCAAUGGCACCGCCUGCAAGUGUUGCGGUGGCGCCUAAAGACAGCCGGAGUAAGUCGGCUCCGAGCCCCUCUAUAUCGGGCUCCACUGUCUCAGCCGUUCCCUUGGUCUCCAAACCGCUUCCAGGGACUUCCACGGCUUCGAGAACCCUGC
Non-coding RNA from Pelodiscus sinensis (Chinese soft-shelled turtle), 2317 nucleotides. NCBI's taxonomy places the organism in Eukaryota, Metazoa, Chordata, Testudines, Trionychidae. The record is from RefSeq and is a predicted model, not a curated record.